GUGCUUGCGUUAGCAGCACAUAUAUUAGAGUUAGAAUGAUGCAGAGUAGAUUGUCAUGGGCUUGUGCAAGGAUGAUGUGAAAAUUCAUGAAGAGGUCCAUAGUUCU
Molecule: small nuclear RNA, 106 nt
Organism: Erinaceus europaeus (western European hedgehog)
Lineage: Eukaryota; Metazoa; Chordata; Mammalia; Eulipotyphla; Erinaceidae
Source: Ensembl